RNAcentral lists this non-coding RNA (178 nucleotides) under [Eubacterium] brachy. RNAcentral describes it as "6S RNA". It matches the Rfam family "6S / SsrS RNA". Rfam says of the family: E. coli 6S RNA was the first non coding RNA to be sequenced, but its function was unknown until recently. It consists of 184 nucleotides that fold into an extended hairpin structure with a large single-stranded internal bulge. The record is from RNAcentral. RNAcentral also lists the same sequence under 1 other name. Lineage: Bacteria; Bacillati; Bacillota; Clostridia; Peptostreptococcales; Anaerovoracaceae.
AAAUGCCUGCGGUGUACGUUGUGCAAUAUAAUUCAACCUACAAUAUCGUCAAGGUUUCUGGAGUUUAAGAGGAUAUGUCAAGCCUCCUUUGAGAGGAAGACAGAAUGCUUGAUGGGGAAACCACCUUUCUUGAAGUAAGGGCGUGAAUUAAGUUGCAUGACGGCAUUGUGGGUUUUUU